UACGAAGGGGGCGAGCGUUGUUCGGAUUUACUGGGCGUAAAGGGCGCGUAGGCGGCGUAACAAGUCACUUGUGAAAUCCCCGGGCUUAACCUGGGAAUGGCAUUUGGGACUGCAUGGCUAGAGUGCGGCAGAGGGGGAUGGAAUUCCGCGUGUAGCAGUGAAAUGCGUAGAUAUGCGGAGGAACACCGAUGGCGAAGGCAAUCCCCUGGGCCUGCACUGACGCUCAUGCACGAAAGCGUGGGGAGCAAACAGG
RNAcentral lists this ribosomal RNA (253 nucleotides) under uncultured bacterium. Its description in RNAcentral is "partial 16S ribosomal RNA". It matches the Rfam family "Bacterial small subunit ribosomal RNA", at positions 524 to 776 of the family's 1533-position model. The record is from RNAcentral.